Rattus norvegicus (Norway rat) is the source of this 2292-nucleotide non-coding RNA. NCBI's taxonomy places the organism in Eukaryota, Metazoa, Chordata, Mammalia, Rodentia, Muridae. The record is from RefSeq and is a predicted model, not a curated record.
AUCCUCUGUGAUGUCACCAGUGUUGUAGUGACAACCAGUGCCCUAGUUUCUCUCAGUCUGAGUCUGGCGGUUACACCCUAAGACAUGUUUUCCCGUCUUCGCAAGAGUUUUGGGAGGGGGAACAUCGAUUGUGGAGAGACUAGAGUGAAGGAGUCUGGCCUUUCGUCUCAAAGUAAUGAUGGACAAAGACAGCACUUCUGGGGAAUGUGGAGUUCACUUGUGUCCUUCUACCUACAGAGGCUGGGAGAGAAACACCAUCCCCUGGAACUGAGCUAAGCAAGAAGCAGGCCGAGAAGGAAAAUAAGAGGUGGAUUUAAGAGCUGCAGCUCAUUACAGAGGAGCGAAACGACCUGAGAGAUCGCCUGAGGUUUCUGACAGAGAGAUCCAUGAAGAACAGGUAUGAAUCGCUCCAAACGCUCUUGUUCCAUUCCUGGGUGUUCAAUUUCACCUUCAUCUUAUCCUUUUAAGGUUUUGGGUUCUAGAAAGCUGUGUCUCUGUAACGACCCUUUUUUAAACCUCACCUCCCAUAUAGAGGAGAUUCAGAACCUGACCCUUCCUGAGGAGCAAGAUGGAAAAUGGACUCAUCUGCUUCCAUUUAUUGAAAAGCAGGAUUUGUGGUCUGAAUGAAGAAUUCGGGGAUAAAGUCAGGGAGAGUGAGUGCCCAGUGUGUAUUUGCAAAGCCCUUGACAGCUGGUGGCUUUGCAAGAUUGUAAUUGCAGUGAGUUUAUGGUGAGUCUCUGUACGUGCUAGGCAGGGGACUGAGUGCUGGAAGAUCCACACAGCAGCCUGAGGGGCCUGGUCCCAAACUGUUCAUCUCAAUGCUUGACUAGAAGGUCUCAGGCUCAGGCCUGUUUGUUCUUGUCUGUGUGUCUUGCCCUCUGAGACAGCAAUGGUGCAUGCAAUUUCUCCUGGUUGUCACAGUGCUCUCUGUUUCCAUAUUUCUCUUUCUCUUUCUCUGACUCUGUUUACAUUUCUCUUAUUUGUGGCUGUGUCUCAGUCUGUGUAUGUGCAUGUGCACACAUCCAAAUGCAUAGGUACAACAUUUAUAUGUUUAUAUUUCCCUCCAAAUUUGAGUCUAGGGGGUCUAUGUCUUGGCCUGAGUAUUUACCCAUGCUACACUUUCAUGGAGAUGUGAGUGCUUUGUUCUGGGAGCCCCACUGUCAACAGCACAGUUCUUUGACUGUGUGGUCACAUUUGUCUGUACAGUUGUAUCCAUUGGGCAGAUUAUUAUUUUGUGGCCAGAUGUGAUCUCAACUCCAUAAUUAUGUGUAAUGUCUGUCUCUACACUAUUAGUUAUUCAGAAUGAAUAAUUCCUGUUGUCAAAACAGGAAAAAUCAAAUCACAUUUUCUGGGUGUGUAGGGGAGUGCCCGGAAGAGCUGUGGCUGAGGCUUUUGAUAACAUAACUGUCUUGACUCCAGGUCCAGUCCUCUCUAUUGAACAAAGGGAGCCAGGAAACCCUCCAUCUGGAUGCUGAGCUUCCGGUGUCCUGGCCCCAGAAUAACAAGUUUCUGAAGCUGAAGAAGAUCCCAAUAUAUAGAAUUCAGAAGGUGUCCUUCCAGGGCUGGGGUAGUACAGGACCCACCCUGAGUUCAUAUAUUCCUAAAUGCUGAUGUUCAUUGUAUUCUAUCAUUUGGGGCCAGGCCACACUUCAGGCCAAAUCCAUAUUAUGAAGACCUGGAGAGAAUGGAGGAGGCGGUCAUGUCAAUUCUGCACAACUUAGAGAUGGAGAACACUGAGAUCCAUGAGAACAGCCAUAAGCUGAAAAAGGAGAUGACCUUCUCUAGGUCUCAGAAAGUGCAAGACUGCUGGAAUUGGACACGGACCAGGAAGAGGACUCCUGAAGAAUAAGUUGCUUCCUCAGGAGUCCCCUGCUGACAAACAUCCUGACUAUUAACAACAUGUUUUGGAUGAAUAUUCUUCCUCAUAGUUAAUUUGUCAUUGCUUAGAGACCUUAAAUUUAUAUAUCACUAAGCCAGCCUGACUGAUUGAGGUCUUACUCACUUUCUUCUUUAGAAAUCACCACUUGAGAGACAACUUGGGGGACCGCCUUUCAUUAUGCUAGAGGAGAAAGAGCAAUACAUCUGUGCUUCUAAAUGUUCGUUAAGAAUAUGAUGUUUAGAAAUAUUUUGUUAUGAUUUUCAUUGAAGUUUUCUAUUUGUUGUUUCAUAGUUAUAUGCUCUUGUUAUUAUUUUUCAUUUUUAAAAUACUUUUAAAUAUUUAUAUUAAUUCAUUUUAAUCCUGUUUUGUUGUAAAUUGUAUUUCUUAUCAAUAAAAAUUGAUUUUAAUCUCUU